UACACUGGUACAGUCAUGCCCUAUGAGAGAUGUAUGACUGCGCAUGUGCGAAAAUAAAUAAAGUGCAUUUUCCCCCGUUCUGGUUAAAACACCAAUGAUGAACAUGUGUGUUUAUUCCUCCGUUAAGUAAACCGGUAUUCCUGUCCUGAAGAUGUCAGCACCAACAGGUUAUGGGCCCAGGAGGGAACAUGGAAGCCGAUGGAAUAGAUUAUAUUUCGACGGAGAUGAAAAAAACUACGAGUUAUGGGAGACAAAGUUUUUGGGGCACUUGCGUUUGCUUGGGCUAAAGGCCGCCAUAUUGAGCGUGGAUGAAGAUGAAGAAGACGGAGAGAAAAAUGAAGAAGCCUACGCCGAAUUGAUACAGGUUUUGGAUGAUAAAAGUCUUUCCCUGAUAAUGAGAGAAGCAGCAGAUGAUGGGAGAAACAUGUGUUGAGGCCGGUGGUAGCUGGUCCACUGCAGGACGCUGAGGUGCGGGAGGUCCCUCCGCCCCCCCUGGGCAUCGAGGGGGCACCGGUGUAUACUGUACGGUCUAUCCUGGAUUCCAGGCGUCGGAUGGGGGGCCUGCAGUACCUCGUGGAUUGGGAGGGGUACGGUCCAGAGGAGAGGUGCUGGGUACCGAGGGGGAACAUCUUGGACCCAUCCUUGUUGAGUGAGUUCCACAACCGCCGUCCGGAUCGCCCUGCGCCUCGUCCUCCGGGUCGUCCUCAAGGCCGGCGUCGGCACACUGCGGGAGCCGCGCGUCGGGGGGGGGUGGGGUACUGUCACGACUUCCACCGAAGGUGGCUCCUCUCCCUGUUCGGGCGGCGCUCGGCGGUCGUCGUCACCGGUCUAUUAGCUGCCACAGAUCCUUUUUUCCUUUUCGUUUGAUCAUGUCUGUUUUGAUUGUUCACUCACCUGUGUCUUGUUUAGGUUGUUUUAGUUUGGGUAUUUAUUCUCGCCCUACCCACUCUGUUUCGUUCGGGUUUGUUGGCGUUUCCCUGUCUGUUAUUUUGGGUGACGUUAGUUUGUUCAUUUUAUUUCAUUCAGGUGUUUUCACUAGUAUUUUGUCUUAGUGGAUUUAAGGACUUAUUUUGUUCGGUACCUGUAUGUUUUUGGAUGAACUUUAUUAAAUACGCUUUUCUACGUA
Molecule: long non-coding RNA, 1126 nt
Organism: Salmo salar (Atlantic salmon)
Lineage: Eukaryota; Metazoa; Chordata; Actinopteri; Salmoniformes; Salmonidae
Source: RefSeq, a predicted model, not a curated record